AUUAAGUCAGAGGUGAAAUCCUGCAGCUCAACUGUAGAAUUGCCUUUGAUACUGGUUAUCUUGAGUUAUUAUGAAGUAGUUAGAAUAUGUAGUGUAGCGGUGAAAUGCAUAGAUAUUACAUAGAAUACCAAUUGCGAAGGCAGAUUACUAAUAAUCWAYUGACACUGAUGGACGAAAGCGUGGGGAGCGAACAGGAUUAGAUACCCUGGUAGUCCACGCCGUAAACGAUGGAUACUAGCUGUURGGAUU
Molecule: ribosomal RNA, 249 nt
Filed under: uncultured bacterium
Lineage: Bacteria
Description: partial 16S ribosomal RNA
Rfam family: Bacterial small subunit ribosomal RNA
Source: RNAcentral